This 953-nucleotide long non-coding RNA is filed under the name Fukomys damarensis (Damara mole-rat). RNAcentral's name for it is "lncRNA (ENSFDAG00000023984.1)". Lineage: Eukaryota; Metazoa; Chordata; Mammalia; Rodentia; Bathyergidae. The record is from RNAcentral.
CUUGAUUUGAUAAUAUGCUGUUAGUCAACCCAAAAUAUUCUUCUCUAUUUGCAGAUACAACCCUCACAUCAAGUGAAGUAUCUCUUUCACAACGUAUGCUAUCGGCCUUCACAGUCCCUGGUGAGUAACUUUCUUAGAAUUCCCAGUGUGGCAGGAAUUAAAAUACCCACAAUAAACAUUUCCUGCUUUCCCAGGAGAGAAGGAGCGAUAAGGGGAAAUCAGACAACUCUCUAGAGGAUUCCAGGCCCUCUCCAUCCCUGGGCAUAAAAUGAACACAGUGAGGGUAGGUGCUGGGGGCAGAAAGAUCAGGAUAAAAGGACCUCAAAUGCAGAACCUAAAGGAGCCUGUAGAGAUUAUCUAGAACAGUUUCAAAAGUUAGCCUGCGUGUGAGCAUCCUGGAGAAUGUGCUGGAUGCAGAUUCAGUGGCUCUGGGAAAAGCUUGAACAUAUCUAUCUGGCUCCUGUCUGAUGCCAAUGCUGCUGGUCAUGGACUCCCUAGAGGAGUAAAAAAAUUGAACAACCAGGAAUGGAGGGGUUGAAAGGAGGGCAGGGGAAUAGGGAAAAAAUAAGAACCAAGAUGUAUCAUGUAUAGGUAUACAUUCGCAAUGAUGAAUGUCAUCCUAUUGUAUACCUAAAAUGUACCAAUAAACUUAAUGAAUAAAAACAAUUGAACAACCAUACUAAUUCUGGAGGAAAAUGAGUCCCAGAGAAGUAAGACAUUUACCUAAGUUCACACAACUAGGAAAGGCAAAGCCACAUCUUCCAACUCCCAACUCACGUUCAAGGUCCUUUCAGAUUCCAGGCUUCGCUAAUGAAUCAAUUGGUGUGAUUCCUCCAAGUCCCUGUGAUAUUGAUGUCUAUGAGGAAAAAAUGAAGAAAGAAACAAAGCCAGUGUCCCAGUUUCAAUGAAAGUGACACCAUCACCUGGUAAUGAUCAAGACUAUUGCUACAUCA